Photorhabdus luminescens is the source of this 43-nucleotide regulatory RNA element. It matches the Rfam family "nuoG RNA". NCBI's taxonomy places the organism in Bacteria, Pseudomonadati, Pseudomonadota, Gammaproteobacteria, Enterobacterales, Morganellaceae. The record is from Rfam.
GAAUUUUUGAUUAACACUUGCUGAAAAGCAGGUCAUUUGGAAG